This 72-nucleotide transfer RNA is filed under the name Spongospora subterranea. RNAcentral describes it as "tRNA-Arg". It matches the Rfam family "tRNA". Rfam says of the family: Transfer RNA (tRNA) molecules are approximately 80 nucleotides in length. Their secondary structure includes four short double-helical elements and three loops (D, anti-codon, and T loops). The record is from RNAcentral. Lineage: Eukaryota; Endomyxa; Phytomyxea; Plasmodiophorida; Plasmodiophoridae.
GCGCUUAUAGCUUAAUGGAAAAGUUCCGAACUUCGGAUUCGUGGUAUGAAAGUUCAAAUCUUUCUAAGCGUA